AACCUUGUUGCUAGGGCCGGGGUGGUUUGCGGCAGCCUUGGACGCUGCAGAGUUUGAAUCUUGAAGGCGAGGGAAAAGUUUUGCUCAGGUGUGGUGGAGUAGCGGAGAAUAGUGCUGGGGCUCUGGGGACAGGAAUGGGAGGCGACAGCGUGGCUUCCUAGGCCAGGUUGAGCUGGCGGCAUGGGCCACACCCGCUCAUCCCCCACGCAGACGAGUUGCGCACUUUGCGGAGACCCGCGCGCUCCUGCUGUUGGUGCGGCGACCCGCACGUGCGCGCCGGGGACGUGGACAGCCGGGACGCGUCGCUCGCGAGCUACCUGGCUCGUUCUGCUGCCUUCCUCCCCUCCCACGGACGCGCGGGUUUCCCCAGCCUACCCGGACGGGAAGUGACUGCAGUUAGGUUGAACUUCAGCAGGACAGAGAGGCCCGCAAGAAAUUCCGCUCACAGGAAAGCAGCAUGAGUAAUCCCCCGCACGGUGCCAGCGCCUAGAUCACCUGUCACCCUGCCUAUCCUAUCCUGCAGGAUCCCAGGGUGGCCAUACUCAGGGUUGUAGUGACUUGCCAUUGAGGCAUAACCUGUAACCCGAAAAGUCAGGAGCCUGAGGCAGGAGGAUGUCUGAGAGUUUGGGCUACAGAGUGGAACCCUGUCUCAAAAUAACUAAAUUUUACACUUAUCUGAGCAGUUGUCGCACUGGGAGGGCCUCAAAGCUAAAAGCAAGGGUUACUAAUGUGGGCUGACGCUGGUUUUUAUCUUAAGUCCUUCGACUUUGUUCAAGACCCAAAAUACCUUGAUACCUGUUUUCAGAAAUAGGGACUUAAGUUGACCCUUCUCCCCCUGCUUCCCACCCCUUUUCAAAGGAGGAAUUAUGUGGGACCACUCUAUGAGAUAAAUGAACUAAGCCAUUGUUUCAUAUAUGUAGUUAUUGUAUUGUUUUUAUGGAUAGAGAUAACAUACCAUAAACAUGCCUUAUAAUGUAAGAAAUACUACAUUAAAUCAGCACAGUAUGGAUAAAUGACACCUGCUGGUAGGUUUCUGCCUACGGAGUCUGCCAUACCCAAGGAAGGGUUUUUUUAUGGCGAUACACACCAGCAGUCUUUAAAUGUGGGAGGUGGAGGCAGGAAGGUCACACGUACCAAGCCAACUUUGAUUUGUAUAGUGAGACCCUGUCUGUAAAAACAAACAGCACCAACCAUGAGAUGUUAAAGAUUCAUUAAACGUAAGUAAGUGUACAGCCAGAGUCCAGUAAUUAAAAAGUGCUGGCUAUAGAUUAAACCCUUCCCACAUUUGCUGUGUCUGAAUAAUAGGACUAUACAUGUAGUUUGCAUAUCAGAUCUGUUCACUGCAAAACUAGACUUUUUCUUGGUCUAGUUCAUACAGGCAGUGCUUCUUCAGUACUGUGUUCACUGAAACAUACGUGUUAGAAUCGUGUCCUCAGAUUUGUGGCCUUGAAUCACCAUGUGUGAUUUAGUCCUUGGCAUCUUGAGUACCUGGCAUUACUCAAAUGAGCCAUGGCCAGGCCUCUGUGACUUUCUGAAUCACAUCAUAAACUUUUGUCUUUUACUGGAAAUUGUCUAGUUUCCAGCCAAAAAGAAAAGAAAAUGUUCUCUCUACCACAAUUUUACCUUCCCUUAAACUUGGAGGGGUCACACUUUCAGUUCUUUUCCUGGCUUGUGAACACUUCUGUGUUAUUCCUCAGCCUAACAAUCAUGGACACACAAACAGCCCAGAAGAAACUUAGUUCCUUCUGUGCUUACAGAUGUAGUUGGGCUGGGCUGCAGUAUUAACUAUGGGGACAGUAACCUUUCCGUGGGAUUGUCUGUAUCCUCAGCACCUACCAGAGUGCUUAACCGCCUUGUAAAGUUUAAUAAAUAUUUCUGGAAUAGGUUUUGUCUAAGUUUCCUGAACCUGUUCUUAUCAAUAAAGUAAAGGUUGUGUGCCUUACUUUAUCAUCGUUUCCGGAACUGUUAAGGUGAGUGAAGCCCUGUAGCUACCAUCCAUGGCCUUUCUAGACCGUAAGCUCUCCGUUUUCAUUUUCCUUUUCCCUAAGGCAUUACUUCUGCUCAGUUUGAUUUUUAAAAUACAUCCAGGAAAUACUGGUGAGCCAAAUCUACACAAAGUUUCACUUUCACAAAAACCUUUGAUAAUUUACAAAUUAAAUAUUUGGCUUCUGUUCGUAUUUCUAUAAUGUUAUUGAAGAUAUUUGAAAUCUUUGCUAGAGAGAGCAGACAGAAGUAAGUCUCAGAAUAUAGAACACUGCUUAAAACUUUAUUCUAUGUGACAGCUUUAUCUUAACCAAAGAAUGGGGAAAAUCUUUGGAAUCAAGUUAUAAAGGAAAUACAUAUUAAAAUUUAGACUAAAUCCAGCCCUUGGGAGGUAGAUAAAGGAGGAUCAGAAGUUCAAGAAAAUCCUUGGCUAUAUACUGAGUUCCAUGACAGCCUGGGCUACGGGAGAUGCUGUUUCAAAAUAAGAAUAGGUAGAAGGGCUAAGGAGGCCAGUGAGUUUAACUUGCAUCAUGUCUUGUUUGCAGUGACUGGUGUAUCACAGAACAUGCCUUCAGUUUGUGCAUUUGUUAGCGGGAUGUUGACACUGCUUUGGGUACUAGGAUUGUAUAUGUUGAGCAAGAUAUACUGUAACAUGUGGAUUGCUGUAUUUUCAAAAUUUAAUGGGAAGAUGUAAGUGUAUCCAUCCGAUUCUGAAUUUUCUAUACAAUUUUCAUACCCUAUGCACACACUUGCUUUUCAUGUAAGACUGGCUUACAAGUCAGGAUAAGCUCUGAUAGAUGACUAUUUUGAAGUUACUGGGUGUUUUGUAUCAAGGCCACCUCACUGUCCAAGUACAUUUGAGAUGUAUGACUAUGGUUCUCUAGGUAAUGUCAUGGAAGACUCCUCUGCCAGUGCUUCCUCUCCAUCCAGUGCCUGUUUCACAUUAGACCUUUGAAGGAGAGUGUUCUCCAUACAUGUUCCCUGGGGUUUCCAUUGCUGAUAAAGUACCAUGACCAAAGGCAACUUGGAGGAUAUUCUAGUUACUGUUCUGUUGCCGUGAAGAGACAUCUACUGACUAAGGUAGUUUUUAUAAAAGAAAGCAUUUAACUGAGGGCUUGCUUACAGUUUCAGAGGGUUAGUGCAUGAUCAUCAUUGGAGAAAGCAGGCAACCAUGCGCUUAGAGCAGUAGCUAAGAGUUUUAUAUGCUGAUUGCAGGCAGAGAGUGACUCUAUGUGGGCAUAGGCUUUUUAAACCUUAAAGCACACUUUCGGUGACAUACCUCCUCCCACAGGCCACACCCCCUAGUCCUUCCCAAAUAUUUCCACUUGAACAUGACUGAGCAUUCAAAUAUAUGAACCUGUGGGAGCCAUUGUUAUUCUAACCCCACCAGGAAUGAAAGGAUUUAUUCAAGCUUGCCAGUCUCAAAUCAGAUUUUUAUUACUGAAGGAAGCCAGGGCAGGAGCCUGCAAAUAGGGAUUGUUGCAGAGGCCAUGGCAGGAGUGCUGCUUACUGGCUUGAUCCUCAUGGCUUGCUUAGCCUGCUUUCUUAUAGCAUUUAGGACCACCAUCCUAGGAAUGACACUGCCCACAGUGGGCUCACAUGUUGGUCAUCAAUUAGGAAAAUAUA
This is a long non-coding RNA of Mus musculus (house mouse), 3609 nucleotides long. RefSeq annotates it as predicted gene 2238. The transcript has a single exon. Lineage: Eukaryota; Metazoa; Chordata; Mammalia; Rodentia; Muridae. The record is from RefSeq and is marked validated.